AACCAGCACCUCGAGUGGUCAGGAGGAUUAUUGGGCCUAAAGCAUCCGUAGCCGGCUCUGUAAGUUUUCGGUUAAAUCCAUAUGCUCAACGUAUGGGCUGCCGAAAAUACUGCAAAGCUAGGGAGUGGGAGAGGUAGACGGUACUCGGUAGGAAGGGGUAAAAUCCUUUGAUCUAUCGAUGACCACCUGUGGCGAAGGCGGUCUACCAGAACACGUUCGACGGUGAGGGAUGAAAGCUGGGGGAGCAAACCGG
RNAcentral lists this ribosomal RNA (253 nucleotides) under uncultured archaeon. RNAcentral's name for it is "partial 16S ribosomal RNA". It matches the Rfam family "Archaeal small subunit ribosomal RNA", at positions 474 to 727 of the family's 1478-position model. The record is from RNAcentral.